Molecule: unclassified non-coding RNA, 300 nt
Filed under: Ambisporaceae sp.
Lineage: Eukaryota; Fungi; Glomeromycota; Glomeromycetes; Archaeosporales; Ambisporaceae
Description: partial contains 5.8S ribosomal RNA and internal transcribed spacer 2
Rfam family: 5.8S ribosomal RNA (bases 1-71)
Source: RNAcentral
GUGAAUCAUCAAAUUUUUGAACGCAUAUUACACUCUCUGGUAUUCCGGGGAGUAUGCCUGUUUGAGGGUAAUUAAAAAGAAUCUUUAACCACUUUUUUUGAUCAAAGGAUAUGAGUUCUCCGCGUUUAUCGCUGUAGCUUGAAAUAAAUGGUCAAGUCUCAUUUUAGUCGAGACGCGUAAUAAUAUUAUUUCGCGAAAUCUUCAUUAUGUGACUAUCAAGUUUUGUUGCAUACAAAUUUGAUUCGUAUGCGAUCUAUACAAAUAUUUUGACCAUUACCUCAAAUCAGGUAUGAGUACCUG